UCUAGAAUUCCAGUUAGAGAACGAACCUAUAACUUUUUUUUUUAAUAAUUCUAUGAUAUUUAUCAUAAAACAUCGCGCAAAUUAAAUUUCUGCCUGAUGUGUUUAAUUUUUUAAAACGUUUAUAUUUUUUUGAAAGAAUAUCUGUAAAAUUUGAUGACGAAAUAAAACGGAACUAUAUGCCAUCGCGGAUUAUUACUUAAAUCCUAUACUGCAAUGGUCUUUUCUUAACUUGCAAAGGGGUAUAAUACUCAUGAUUUUUGCUUGUGAAUAAAUGGUGUACAAAACAUAAUUUUCCGAAAUACAGAUAUGAUUCAAUAACAGGUACGAAAUACCUGUUCCAGAAAAUAUUUGCCAUCUCUAGACUGUAGUAAUGUGCUGACCUGAAUUCACUGACCCGUCUGAGGUUAUAGAGCCUGUGUGUAAAGCUUGUUUGAAAUUUAAAAUAUGCUUUUUGAUGAUGGCCCAUGGAAUUUCAAAAAAAGUGAACCUUUGUAUCUGAAUCUCCAAUUGAGGGGAAAAUUUAUGUGCAUAUCUUUUCCAAAGGCUGAGUCUAAGCAUUUAAGUGAAGACACCAAGACAAUUAUAGCUCAUAGAUAUGAGUAACUUAUUACAAAAUGCUUGCAUAUAUUACUGCAGCAGAUUCGAUCGAAACUGGUAAAAUUGUUUCGGCCCAUUAUUGUUUGCGCUUUUUAUAAUUAUAAGCAUAUAAUACUUGAAAUAUUAUGAAAUGUGUGUAUUUUGUAACUUGAAAUACAUAAAAUUGUUUUUUUCAGUUUCUAAUUUAACUAUGUUGGAAAGAGUUACAUUUAUGUAUGUUGCACGAUUUUAAAUUUUCUCGAGCAACAAUAUUUUUACUAUUGUCUUAAAUUCAUUUGAGGCAAUUUAAACGUCCCUUUUUAUUUUUUUUAUUUCUAAUAACCUUUUGACAAAAGAAAAAGAAUGCAUUUUUUAAAUCACAACUUAAGACUAUGUAUGCUUUUGCAUUAAAUAAUAUGUUGAUUUAAUUUUUUAUUUUGUGUAAUAACUUUCAUGAAGUUAUUCAUGUUUCAAAUACUUAUCCAUGUAUAUCUUUAAAGUAUGUAAGUGAUUAUUUAAUUAAACUACUGAUAAGUGCUUUUUGUUAA
Parasteatoda tepidariorum (common house spider) is the source of this 1124-nucleotide long non-coding RNA. NCBI's taxonomy places the organism in Eukaryota, Metazoa, Arthropoda, Arachnida, Araneae, Theridiidae. The record is from RefSeq and is a predicted model, not a curated record.